UACAGAGGUGGCAAGCGUUGUUCGGAAUUACUGGGCGUAAAGGGCGCGUAGGCGGCCUCCUAAGUCAGACGUGAAAUCCCCCGGCUUAACCUGGGAACUGCGUCUGAUACUGGGAGGCUAGAGUGCGGGAGAGGGAUGCGGAAUUCCAGGUGUAGCGGUGAAAUGCGUAGAUAUCUGGAGGAACACCGGUGGCGAAGGCGGAUCUCUGGGCCGAUACUGACGCUGAGGAGCGAAAGCGUGGGGAGCGAACAGG
Molecule: ribosomal RNA, 253 nt
Filed under: uncultured bacterium
Lineage: Bacteria
Description: partial 16S ribosomal RNA
Rfam family: Bacterial small subunit ribosomal RNA
Source: RNAcentral